AAGGAUCUAUGUUGGUUUUUAUUUUCUUUCUAUUAGUGUGGUGUGUUUUAUUGUGUUGGAUUGCUUUGUCGGAGAACUUGCUUUGUGUUUUGUUUAGGUUCCAUUCUUUUUCUUUGGAUUCUUGAGAGAAGGUAUAUUGGGGUGCUUUUAGAUCAUCACUUGAGCAUCUUCUUUGUAGAGGGAAAGGAUGGGACGUGGCUGGUAACAUCUU
Molecule: unclassified non-coding RNA, 211 nt
Filed under: Hevea brasiliensis (rubber tree)
Lineage: Eukaryota; Viridiplantae; Streptophyta; Magnoliopsida; Malpighiales; Euphorbiaceae
Source: RNAcentral